GAUGAACGCUGGCGGCGUGCCUAAUACAUGCAAGUCGAGCGAACGGACGAGAAGCUUGCUUCUCUGAUGUUAGCGGCGGACGGGUGAGUAACACGUGGAUAACCUACCUAUAUGACUGGGAUAACUUCGGGAAACCGGAGCUGAUACCGGAUAAUAUUUUGAACCGCAUGGUUCAAAAGUGAAUGACGGUCUUGCUGUCACUUAUAGAUGGAUCCGCGCUGCAUUAGCUAGUUGGUAAGGUAACGGCUUACCAAGGCAACGAUGCAUAGCCGACCUGAGAGGGUGAUCGGCCACACUGGAACUGAGACACGGUCCAGACUCCUACGGGAGGCAGCAGUGGGGAAUCUUCGGCAAUGGGCGAAAGCCUGACGGAGCAACGCCGCGUGAGUGAUGAAGGUCUUCGGAUCGUAAAACUCUGUUAUUAGGGAAGAACAGAUGUGUAAGUAACUGUGCACAUCUUGACGGUACCUAAUCAGAAAGCCACGGCUAACUACGUG
RNAcentral lists this ribosomal RNA (497 nucleotides) under uncultured bacterium. Its description in RNAcentral is "partial 16S ribosomal RNA". It matches the Rfam family "Bacterial small subunit ribosomal RNA", at positions 28 to 507 of the family's 1533-position model. The record is from RNAcentral.